AUCUUUGAUCGAGAUGGAAAAUCUCCUGCCUGAGGGAGAACAUGUCCCAUCGAGUUGGGAAUCUGGUGGAUAUGAGUUGAGCAAAAGAAAAAUUCAAGAUUUAAACAAGACGAUUCGGGCUUUGAAACGUGGUCGCACAUAUAAAAGUUACCAAGAAAGAAUGAAGGUAAAGAAAUUGGAACAAGAAAAGGCCAAAGCUGCUUCACGAGUGAAAGUCUGGAAGCCUGUCUCUGACUAUCAUUUAAACAAGGUUCUCGGAAGCAGUGCUGCCAAGACAGAAAUGAAUUCAUUUGAGAGCGAUUCACAUACUAAAACAAUUGAGCCAAUGAUGAGAGGAAGAGAAGAAAAGACUUCGUUCGCCGAUGCCGUCCGAGAUGUUUUGGCUCAUCGUCGACAGCUGAAGAUCAGAGCAGCGGCUUUCAUUUCUUUGCUACCUGAUAAAAUAAGAGAAUAUAAAAUUGAAUCUUUACGUUCCUAUAUGACAAAUCUGUACGACAUUCUACAAACUUUGAUUAACAUAAAGAACAAGGAUCUGAAAAGCAGGACAGCAAUUACACCGGGAACUCUAAGAGCAUUGAAGCAAGAACCUGCGGCAUUGAACCAGCCAUGUUUCAGAACUCGGCAGAACUCUGGAGAAUCGUCGAUAAAGUCUUGGGAUGAAAUGUUGAACAUGAAAUCAAAUGAAAAUUAUUCAAUACCAACAAAGAAAGAUGGAAUAACUACAAAUAUGCCUUUGUGGCAGAUUCUUGCAACAGAAUAUAUAGAUGACAUCAAUUGGAUGCCUAAACACGGAUCAACAGUUUGCUCCCCAGCAAAAGAAACUUUAGUUGACCGGAUGGUUCUUGGGUGGAAUCAAGUGAGAGCAAAACAAGCAAAAGACACAGAAUAUGCAAUUAAGACUAUAGAAAGGAAAAAUAUGGACCGAUUUCGAGUGCUAAACUUCUUUUUGAAUCAGCGCCAUAUUUCCUUUGAGCAUUUUUGUAAGAAAGUAAAAGUCGCUUUCCCCGAAGUACGAAUACAAAUACGGCAUGACAAAGAUAUUGAAAAAGUUUCUUGGUUAUAUGAGUUGGAUGAUCUGUGCCAAAGUUACAAAGAUGCAGAUCCAACCCUUCACUUUCCCGAGUUGAAGCGCUUACAAAGGUUUUUCAAGUUCGAGUUACAAGAAAUACCUUUUAUAAAGGCCAAACUUUGCCUUUACGUAAUGUCCGUUCCAGCUUAUGAAAUUUUAAAAUGUGAAAUACAGAAAGCUCUUAUGGCGACUCUGAAAAUACUCUUUCUGCCUGAAGGUCUCCUUAAGGAAUGGCUUAGUAUUCGACAUCUUCCGAUGCUGGUUACAGACUAACUAUCCUAUUUCCACCAUCAUUUUUAUAAUAUUUAGAUUUCCAAUUAUAUAAAACUAGUAUAAAAGCUGAUCACACGAUAUUUAACAACUUUCGAAUAAACUGAGAAAAUGCAUAGGUAUUGUAACGAGAAUCAAAGCAAUGGCAUAUUUAUUCUGGAAGAUUCGAACAUGAAUAACCUAAUCACAGUGGUAUUUCGCCUUCGGAGAACACUUACCCGCUUUAUAUGAUGUGUGUUCAAAAUGCACGCAAAUCAUUGACUUAAGGCGACUUUGAAACAUAGCGGUGUUUAUAAAUUGUUCCGUGUGUCAGAAUAAAUGUUUAUAUUG
This 1669-nucleotide unclassified non-coding RNA is filed under the name Octopus sinensis (East Asian common octopus). RNAcentral describes it as "uncharacterized LOC118762918, transcript variant X1". The record is from RNAcentral. Lineage: Eukaryota; Metazoa; Mollusca; Cephalopoda; Octopoda; Octopodidae.